This 487-nucleotide ribosomal RNA is filed under the name uncultured bacterium. RNAcentral's name for it is "bacterial SSU rRNA". It matches the Rfam family "Bacterial small subunit ribosomal RNA", at positions 30 to 511 of the family's 1533-position model. The record is from RNAcentral.
AUUGAACGCUGGCGGCAUGCCUUACACCAUGCAAGUCGAACGGUAACAGGUCUUCGGAUGCUGACGAGUGGCGAACGGGUGAGUAAUACAUCGGAACGUGCCCGAUCGUGGGGGAUAACGAAGCGAAAGCUUUGCUAAUACCGCAUACGAUCUACGGAUGAAAGCAGGGGACCGCAAGGCCUUGCGCGAACGGAGCGGCCGAUGGCAGAUUAGGUAGUUGGUGGGAUAAAAGCUUACCAAGCCGACGAUCUGUAGCUGGUCUGAGAGGACGACCAGCCACACUGGGACUGAGACACGGCCCAGACUCCUACGGGAGGCAGCAGUGGGGAAUUUUGGACAAUGGGCGCAAGCCUGAUCCAGCAAUGCCGCGUGCAGGAAGAAGGCCUUCGGUUGUAAACUGCUUUUGUUACGGAACGAAAAGGCUCUGGUUAAUACCUGGGGCUCAUGACGGUACCGUAAGAAUAAGCACCGGCUAACUACGUGCCAG